GACGAACGCUGGCGGCGUGCUUAACACAUGCAAGUCGAACGGAAAGGCCCUGCUUUUGUAGGGUGCUCGAGUGGCGAACGGGUGAGUAACACGUGAGUAACCUGCCCUUGACUUUGGGAUAACUUCAGGAAACUGGGGCUAAUACCGGAUAGGAGCUCCUGCUGCAUGGUGGGGGUUGGAAAGUUUCGGCGGUUGGGGAUGGACUCGCGGCUUAUCAGCUUGUUGGUGGGGUAGUGGCUUACCAAGGCUUUGACGGGUAGCCGGCCUGAGAGGGUGACCGGCCACAUUGGGACUGAGAUACGGCCCAGACUCCUACGGGAGGCGGCAGUGGGGAAUAUUGCACAAUGGGCGGAAGCCUGAUGCAGCAACGCCGCGUGCGGGAUGACGGCCUUCGGGUUGUAAACCGCUUUCGCCUGUGACGAAGCGUGAGUGACGGUAAUGGGUAAAGAAGCACCGGCUAACUACGUG
This 468-nucleotide ribosomal RNA is filed under the name uncultured bacterium. RNAcentral's name for it is "partial 16S ribosomal RNA". It matches the Rfam family "Bacterial small subunit ribosomal RNA", at positions 28 to 507 of the family's 1533-position model. The record is from RNAcentral.